This 497-nucleotide ribosomal RNA is filed under the name uncultured bacterium. Its description in RNAcentral is "partial 16S ribosomal RNA". It matches the Rfam family "Bacterial small subunit ribosomal RNA", at positions 28 to 507 of the family's 1533-position model. The record is from RNAcentral.
GAUGAACGCUGGCGGCGUGCCUAAUACAUGCAAGUCGAGCGAACGGACGAGAAGCUUGCUUCUCUGUUGUUAGCGGCGGGCGGGUGAGUAACACGUGGAUAACCUACCUAUAAGACUGGGAUAACUUCGGGAAACCGGAGCUAAUCCCGUAUGAUAUUUUGAACCGCAUGGUUCAAAAGUGAAAGACGGUCUUGCUGUCUCUUAUAGAUGGAUCCGCGCUGCAUUAGGUAGUUGUUAAGGUAACGGCUUACCACGGCAACGAUGCAUAGCCGACGUGAGGGGGUGAUCGGCCACACUGGAACUGAGACAGGGUCCAGACUCCUACGGGAGGCAGCAGUAGGGAAUCUUCCGCAAUGGGCGAAAGCCUGACGGAGCAACGCCGCGUGAGUGAUGAAGGUCUUCGGAUCGUAAAACUCUGUUAUGAGGGAAGAACAUAUGUGUAAGUAACUGUGCACAUCUUGACGGUACCUAAUCAGAAAGCCACGGCUAACUACGUG